RNAcentral lists this transfer RNA (64 nucleotides) under Neosymplana vittatum. Its description in RNAcentral is "tRNA-Leu". Lineage: Eukaryota; Metazoa; Arthropoda; Insecta; Hemiptera; Caliscelidae. The record is from RNAcentral.
UCUAAGAGUGGCAGAAAAGUGUCAUGAGCUUAAAAUUCAUUUAUAAAUUUAAAUUUCCUUAGAA